GGGGGCGAUUUGGAUUCGACGCCGGUGGCAAAACUCAAGGUGCAUGUCGUGAUGGUAGCGAAUCACGUAAAUCCAAAGCUGCAUUUUAUUAGUUGCCAAUGACGACAACUACGGUGCCCAAUUAGCCGCGUAAGCGGUUGAUGAAGCACUUCUAACGGUACGCCGUUAGCGGUCCGUAACAAGGUGCCAGUACCGCGUUGCAGACUGUCAUACAGAACUGGAUAGCUGUGUUGUUAUGACUGUGGCAACAUUGCGAAACUUUUAGCAGACUCGUUCCCUGCACCCUGCCCGUUGGGUCGCAGAUGAAUUAAACCAAUUAACGGAAACUAAGCAUGUAGAUCCGCGAGCGGAGUGCCGGCGGACGGGGGUUCAACUCCCCCCGCCUCCACCA
Molecule: transfer-messenger RNA, 391 nt
Filed under: Gilvimarinus agarilyticus
Lineage: Bacteria; Pseudomonadati; Pseudomonadota; Gammaproteobacteria; Cellvibrionales; Cellvibrionaceae
Also listed under: 2 other names
Rfam family: transfer-messenger RNA
About the family: Bacterial tmRNA, also known as 10Sa RNA or SsrA, is named for its dual tRNA and mRNA-like properties. Its role is to liberate the mRNA from a stalled ribosome. To accomplish this part of the tmRNA is used as a reading frame that ends in a translation stop signal.
Source: RNAcentral